Molecule: long non-coding RNA, 1554 nt
Organism: Esox lucius (northern pike)
Lineage: Eukaryota; Metazoa; Chordata; Actinopteri; Esociformes; Esocidae
Source: Ensembl
CUCGAGUUCGCAUGGGCGGAUAAUGCAACGUUCGUUACAAUGAACACACCCCAUCUUAGGUAUUAGAUAACAUGGAAAACUGUAGGCCACCUGAAAAUAAGUUUAAACAAGGUAAUAUGAAAUGAACCUAUAGUUUAUGGAGAAAGAAUGCAUUUAUAUUUGGCCAAGUUCACGACUCCUAACGUCUACUAAAAUUUCCUGCAAACAGAAGUCUAAUGAGGGUCUUGUCGACCAACUUGUCGAUACAGUCAAACGGAUAACGACGUGUUACAGUAUCAGCUGGUUGACAGUAUCUUUUUUCUGUACUUAAACACUUGGAAAAUAACUCGGUUAACUAGUAAAACAUGCAAAUAUGUAACAGGAAUAACUUUCACUGUUUGAAGAAAUUACCUGACACGGUUAGGCCUGCCUCAUUCUCGCUGUCCCUGUUCCUGAACACUACAGUAACCGGGCAUCUGAGAGGUCCUCGAUCCUGUCGCCAAGGUAACUACUGACGUUGCUGAAACAUGUGCUGCUCUCAUUACUAACAGGUGUGUAUCACAAUGUUGUGCUCGACCUCUCCAGAAUAUUUAGCAAUGUUUCCGUGGAUUUUCGCCAGUGUAUCGUUCUACAAACACAUUAAGAUAAAGAUGAUGAUAAAGACUGAGGAUCCGCCCCUUCGAGAGCAUGUCAUCAAGGUCACUUGACCAGAGGAGGAAGUGAUCCGUCCACUGCCAUCAUCACCCUGGUUUGCAAGUCAUCAGAAUGAGUUGUGCCCAGAGGGUGUCAUCCCAGUGGAACAGAGGAAUACACUUCAGUGAUGAGACACAGUCAUGCCAUGGCUGGCAUCUUCACAGUCACAUGAUGAUGUUUACACAAUAACAAUGGGCUUCUUGUGUUUUCUGAGGUGAACAUAUGGAUAUGGAUCAAAUGGUUUUAACAAAAUCUAAUUGGGUACAACACAAAGAUUGUCUGUCUUGCAAGUGUCCCCCCUUUUUAACAUGAAUGUCCAGUCAUUCAUUAAAGAUGAUAAUAAUGGGUGAAAUAUAUUUGUUCCUGAAUUUAAAUAAUGUACAAAAGCAGAAAUGGGAUUGAUGGUACCUCCACAGCCUUUACCUCUGUUACCAAAAAUAAACAAAAUGUUUUUUUCUUGCUGAUUUAACACACAUUGAGCCAUUCAGUUUCUUGUACCUGUAAUGGUUAACAGUUACAAAUGUUUUCAAUAUUCAGACUGGUCUCAAGAAUGUGAUCAUUCUGAUUAUUUCAGGGUUCUUUUAUCCAGGCCAGGUCCACACAGGAUGAACACAUCUUUUACUGUACUUUCGUUAUUGUACUGUACUUGAUCACUGAACGAUGUUCAAUCUUGUAAAAGAUACUUGUGGUAAGCCUCAUUCUUAUUGUAUAAAAUAAUAAAAGGGUGAAAUCUUAAUGCAGUAUAGAGUUUUUGUAUUUGGUAUUUGUUAAUGCUUUCAUGCAACAAUAACACAUAACAGUUGAAAUAUACUGUACCUAACAAGCAAAAGUUGAUGUUAUUUUAAUUAAUUAUAACUCAUAUGACCCCCCAUAUAAUGUAAG